GAUCAUGGCUCAGGAUGAACGCUGGCGGCGUGCUUAACACAUGCAAGUCGAACGAAGCUCUUGGAACUGAGGAUUCGUCUGAAGUGAAGAGAUGACUUAGGUGGCGGACGGGUGAGUAACGCGUGGGGAAUCUGCCCCGUACCGGGGGAUAACACUUAGAAAUAGGUGCUAAUACCGCAUAAGCGCACGGUGUCGCAUGACACAGUGUGAAAAACUCCGGUGGUACGGGAUGAUCCCGCGUCUGAUUAGCCAGUUGGCAGGGUAACGGCCUACCAAAGCGACGAUCAGUAGCCGGCCUGAGAGGGUGAACGGCCACAUUGGGACUGAGACACGGCCCAAACUCCUGCGGGAGGCAGCAGUGGGGAAUAUUGCACAAUGGGGGAAACCCUGAUGCAGCCGACGCCGCGUGAGUGAAGAAGUAUCUCGGUAUGUAAAGCUCUAUCAGCAGGGAAGAAAAUGACGGUACCUGACUAAGAAGCCCCGGCUAACUACGUGCCAGCCGCAGC
This 506-nucleotide ribosomal RNA is filed under the name uncultured bacterium. RNAcentral's name for it is "bacterial SSU rRNA". It matches the Rfam family "Bacterial small subunit ribosomal RNA", at positions 15 to 518 of the family's 1533-position model. The record is from RNAcentral.